This 468-nucleotide ribosomal RNA is filed under the name uncultured bacterium. RNAcentral describes it as "partial 16S ribosomal RNA". It matches the Rfam family "Bacterial small subunit ribosomal RNA", at positions 28 to 507 of the family's 1533-position model. The record is from RNAcentral.
GACGAACGCUGGCGGCGUGCUUAACACAUGCAAGUCGAACGGAAAGGCCCUGCUUUUGUGGGGUGCUCGAGUGGCGAACGGGUGAGUAACACGUGAGUAACCUGCCCUUGACUUUGGGAUAACUUCAGGAAACUGGGGCUAAUACCGGAUAGGAGCUCCUGCUGCAUGGUGGGGGUUGGAAAGUUUCGGCGGUGGGGGAUGGACUCGCGGCUUAUGAGCUUGUUGGUGGGGUAGUGGCUUACCAAGGAGUUGACGGGUAGCCGGCCGGAGAGGGUGACGGGCCACAACGGGAGUAAGGUGAGGCGCAGAAUCCUACGGGAGGAAGCAGUAGUGAAUAUUUCACAACGAGGGGAAGCCGGCUGCAGCAGCGCUGCGUGGGGGAGGUAGGCCGUCGGGGUGUAGUCCGCUUCCGCCCGUGGCGAAGCGUGAGUGACGGUAAUGGGUAAAGAAGCACCGGCUAACUACGUG